Molecule: long non-coding RNA, 389 nt
Filed under: Mytilus galloprovincialis (Mediterranean mussel)
Lineage: Eukaryota; Metazoa; Mollusca; Bivalvia; Mytilida; Mytilidae
Source: RNAcentral
GUAAAAUUGAAAAUGGAAAAGGGGAAUCUGUCAAAGAGACAACAACCCGACCAUGCAAAGAGCAGACAACAGCCGAAGGCCACCAAUGGGUCUUGAAUGUAGCGAGAAACUCCCGCACCCGGAGGCGUGCUUCAGCUGGCCCCUGAAUAAAAAUGUAUACUAGUACUAGUUCAGUGAUAAUGAACGUAAUAAUAAACUCCGAAAUAUACACAAGAAACUAGAAUUAAAAAUCAUACAAGACUAACAAAGGCCAGAGGCUCCUGACUUGGGACAGGCGCAAAAAUGCGGCUGGGUUAAACAUGUUUUUGAGGGCUCAACCCUCCCCCUAUACCUCUAGCCAAUGUAGAAAAAACAAACACACAACAAUGCGUUUAUCGUACUCGUCCGAA